GGGAAACAUGAGAGCCAGACCAAAGCUCAGAGAAAAAAACGCAAACCUGAAACUGGAUCCAGCUGUGAGUCUGCCAAAAGUGAGAUGUCAACAAAUGACGAUGUUAAAAGACAGUGCACCUCUGAAUCUAAGAUCACUCAGAGUCCAGGAUUUCCUGAACCUAAACCCAGCUGUGUGUCCUUGAAGAGCAACCAGUCAAAGGGCAUUGGAGAAACCUUUAAAGCGGAACUUUCUGAGAUA
Long non-coding RNA from Pundamilia nyererei, 240 nucleotides. RefSeq lists it as uncharacterized. Lineage: Eukaryota; Metazoa; Chordata; Actinopteri; Cichliformes; Cichlidae. The record is from RefSeq and is a predicted model, not a curated record. The transcript has 3 exons.